Molecule: transfer RNA, 72 nt
Filed under: Cavia porcellus (domestic guinea pig)
Lineage: Eukaryota; Metazoa; Chordata; Mammalia; Rodentia; Caviidae
Rfam family: tRNA
About the family: Transfer RNA (tRNA) molecules are approximately 80 nucleotides in length.
Source: Rfam by way of RNAcentral
GGGGAUAUAGCUUAGUGGCAUAGCACCUGUCUAGCAAGAAUGAGGUGAUGAGUUCGAUCCCCAUUACCCCCU